Molecule: ribosomal RNA, 465 nt
Filed under: Vreelandella stevensii
Lineage: Bacteria; Pseudomonadati; Pseudomonadota; Gammaproteobacteria; Oceanospirillales; Halomonadaceae
Description: partial 16S ribosomal RNA
Rfam family: Bacterial small subunit ribosomal RNA
Source: RNAcentral
CCUACGGGUGGCUGCAGUGGGGAAUAUUGGACAAUGGGGGCAACCCUGAUCCAGCCAUGCCGCGUGUGUGAAGAAGGCCCUCGGGUUGUAAAGCACUUUCAGUGAGGAAGAACGCCUGGUGGUUAAUACCCAUCAGGAAAGACAUCACUCACAGAAGACGCACCGGCUAACUCCGUGCCAGCAGCCGCGGUAAUACGGAGGGUGCGAGCGUUAAUCGGAAUUGCUGGGCGUAAAGCGCGCGUAGGUGGCUUGAUAAGCCGGUUGUGAAAGCCCCGGGCUCAACCUGGGAACGGCAUCCGGAACUGUCAAGCUAGAGUGCAGGAGAGGAAAGUAGAAUUCCCGGUGUAGCGGUGAAAUGCGUAGAGAUCGGGAGGAAUACCAGUGGCGAAGGCGGCCUUCUGGACUGACACUGACACUGAGGUGCGAAAGCGUGGGUAGCAAACAGGAUUAGAUACCCUAGUAGUC